Molecule: long non-coding RNA, 1134 nt
Organism: Folsomia candida
Lineage: Eukaryota; Metazoa; Arthropoda; Collembola; Entomobryomorpha; Isotomidae
Exons: 2
Source: RefSeq, a predicted model, not a curated record
CACCUCACUUUAAAACCGGCUUCGAGCUCUAAAUCAUGUGUCCACUUGAUGUCAGAAGUUAACAAUGUUCUUCCCAUUGGAACCAAACAACUGGAUACAAUUAUCACUGCUCUAACAAUAAUAUGGCUGCAUGAUUGAACCAACUGGAACUAACUGAGCUUGGAGAAGAAACUGGAGAAGAAACAACUGCGAUGAUGCGAGAUGAGAUGACUUGAAGGAAAAGAAAACUGUAUUCCGUUUCAUCUUCGUUUCAUCUUCCAAAGCCGUCUAAAAUCCUUUUCUGGCAGCAACAUCUUCCUCUUCGCUAGUUUUAACUGGCCAUCCUCUAGGAAAGGAAGGAAGCUCGUGAAAUAUGAUCCGGAUUCACACACACACAUGCACAGGCGACUCUACUGAAUUGAGACCAUAUCGAGACCUACAUAUGCAUGCAUGCAACAAUAUUCUCGGUAUUCCCAGUUUUACCUUUCAUUCACAAUGAAUGCACUCAGCAAACAACCGAACCAUCCUAGCUUGCAAGAAGAUCUUGUGCACUUUAUGUGAAAAUUACGCUGGCACUUCAGAUGCAGACUGGUUUAGGGUUUAAAACGAAAAAGUAUGUAUCCGUCCAAGUAUAUACUUUGGAUCCCAUUCACAAAAUGAUUUGAACCAUGAAAAUAAUAAUGAAUGAACCUUGUUGCCAGUACUUUAACACAACCAAAAACUAUGAAAAGUUAGUUUAAUAGUAUGAAUGAGAUUUUGAGGUGAUUCGAGCCUAAUAAUAACUGCGCGAUUAAGUACGUACGACGACAACGACGAUGGUUCUUGGGUGAGGAUUGCGUGUCACAAUAGGACAACAUUUAAAAAGAUGGACAUGAAAACGGAAACAUCGCCGGAAAUGCCAGAUUUGAAAGGUCGCUACUUAUGUCAUCAAAUAUGCAAAUGCGUUCUAAAUUGAAUUAUGCGACUUAUUAUAGGCAAAUUGUGUGUAGUCGUUCUAUUUCCACUUGGCUAUAAUAUGGAUUCUUUAGGUAAUGUUUUUUGAGAAACAAUUAUUACUUGUUUGAAAACUGACAGCUUUAUUUUCCGCAUAAACAGCUUUGGAUGUAGGACAUUUUUAAGGGCAAUUAAAAUUACACAUUUGAAAUCUAGAAAAAA